GGAUGCGUAAAAAAAUCGAAGGCAGCAACUCAAAAAUAGAUGAAUGUUGGAAGGAAGAUGUAUAAGGCUGAGAGGAAAUGGCAUCUUGAGGUUUGUUACCCUUCAACUUAUAGACAUAUAUGCUCAGUUAUUGUUGUGUAACAUAGAGUUACCCUGGAUGUAAAUGCUCCUUCUCUUGUGUAUUUCAGUUCAACAAUUGGUGGUUCUUCAGGUCACUUUAGCGUGCAUUUUCAGUACAACUUCUAGGCGAGGAGGACGACAGUGACGACUCCUUCAGAUUUUUUCUGUGUUGCUACAUC
This 299-nucleotide long non-coding RNA is filed under the name Triticum aestivum (bread wheat). Its description in RNAcentral is "long non-coding RNA (TAES_LNC004616)". The record is from RNAcentral. Lineage: Eukaryota; Viridiplantae; Streptophyta; Magnoliopsida; Poales; Poaceae.